Molecule: RNA transcript, 3561 nt
Organism: Hirundo rustica (Barn swallow)
Lineage: Eukaryota; Metazoa; Chordata; Aves; Passeriformes; Hirundinidae
Gene name: ferritin light chain-like
Exons: 6
Source: RefSeq, a predicted model, not a curated record
GGAGAAUGGGCAGGCAAAAGGAGCAGGGACAAACCUCGGGAUUAUACGUUUUCCAGGGGAACAGGCUUGUGUGACGUGGAGAAUUGCUUCAGCACAGAGACUGCAAACCUGUUCAAUUAAAGGAAAUGCUCAGAUCCAGCUGUUGGAGUCCCAUGAAUGCCAGUACUCCUCACAGAGCAGCAGCUGAGCCCACAGGCUCUGUGCAAGAAAUUUUGCUGAAGAAAUCCCCUCUGCACGUGGCCAGCAGCCUGAAUCAGUCUUUUCUGGUGUAUGGUGAAAUAGUGGAAGACGUUUGAAGGAAAUUGCUACCAUGGGGUUUGGCUGUGAGGUAUGUACAGCACCCGUUGCAUCUGCUCCAUCUAUUUGUUGUUAAAGUGAUAUUAUAGACACAUUGCUAGUAACAGACUGAAGAAGCUGCUUUGGAAAUCAAAAAUAAGUAAUUCUAUCUGUCCGCAUGAUAUGAUGUAUAUAUGGUUUUCUUUCAGGUAAGUUAAAAUGCAAAAGCAGAGAACAGCUGUGGUCCAGCUGAUGAGGUGAUAUGAAUCAAGAGUUGGGACACUAAGCUGAAUGGGCUGAAAACAAACAUUUAAUGCCUCCCUGCACUGUUCCUAUGUGUUUGGGGCAACUGCAAACAGGGUAAACAGUAAAAAACAGCUCCAGAGCCCAAGCUUUACUGAGUUUUUGGCCCACUGACUAGUGCUGAUGCUUGCAAGACCUCUCCCACAGCAGGCUGGCAGACUGACCCUCCCUUAAAGUUAUAAACUCAGGUUUGCAAUGAGAAACAUCUCUAAAUAUUAAUAACCUUGCUUUGGAUUGAGGUCUUUUGCAGAUGUGCUUCCCUGAGGAAGAGCAGACAACUUGGAGCUCCCGUUGUAGCUCCAGGAGCUCCAGUUCUGUCCCACCCCAGCUGGACAUGUUCCUGCACCCUCAGCAUCUCUCCUGCUGCUGUGGAGGUGCCUGCAAGAGAGCAGUCUGCCAUACCUGCUCCUUCACUUACGGGGUUGUGUCUGAUGGGUGCUCUUGCAGUCACAGAAACCUGCUCCUGUUUGCAGGACUCUUGACAGGGCUUCAGCCCACACAGAGCCAGGGCUGUGCUGUGAGGGGGACUGGGACAUAGAAAACCCUUCCAGCCUUGAAAAACCAGCGGGACUGCAGGCAGAAUCCUGUUGCACACCAGCCAGACUGGCUGGCACCCCAACAGGGCACUUCAUCCCCAGACAGCUGCAGCUGGCCGUGACAACACCCAUGCUGGGCAGUGUUGGAACAGGCUGGAGGGCAGCUAUGGGGGGAAUGCAGUGGCACUCAGGGGUGCUGCUUCUUGCACUGCACAAACCACUCAUGCUGUAUGUGUGAGACACAAACCCCUUGCACAUGUCCCAAGUGCAUACCACACUGGAGACACAAAACACGCACCCCUACACUCCUAAAACACACAACACCUUCUGCUGCACAGCACUUACACACUGCAGACAUGGAAAGCAAAGUAGGUGUGUGCUGCAGACGUGGGGCACAAGCCACAUCAGCCACUGUUUUGGCAGGUAGAAGAAUUAUAAAAGAAAGGCCUACUCUAUUAAAUUAACAGCUAGCCUCUCAUCUCUUCUAAGUGUAGUUAAGCAAUUUGCAAGCCCCCAUUCGAAAACAAUCUUGGUAUGAAAGGUUUGUUAACACAACAGCCUAUUCUUGGGUUGAAAACUAACUGCAUCUGUGCAAACAAUAAGAUCUGUUCCAUGAAAACCCAAAAAGGUAAAUGUAAACAACCUGAAUCUUAGCACGUACACAAAAAAUAACCUUCUCACCAAAAAAAUGAAGUAGUAAGAAAACCACCAGCCAAUAGGCGUUGCACACCAGGUCUGUGAAAACUGUAUAAAAUAAGUUAUGUGAAUAAAGAAUUGGCUUUUGCCGCAUGAAGCAAUGGAGUCUCGGCUAACCUAUUAAAAUAUCUGCUGGCGAUCGCGGGAGGCGAGGGCCGAGCCUGUCGCGACAAAGGCCAAGCCGAGCCGGGACUCGAGAGACGGAAUACACAAAGCCGCGAACGAAUAGCCCGCAGCCAAAGGAAAUUCCACCACCGAAUACACAAAGUAGCGAAAGGCUCCAGCUCCGCUCCAGCCGGCCGCGGGACGGCACAAAACAUACAAAGACAAAAACCGGGCGGAGAGCGCGACCCGAGCGGGGAGCGCACAGAAACAAACACAGAAACAGCGCUCCCGGGAAGGGCCGCCCGGCGGGUAAGGGAGCAUGGGUGAAAAAUGCAGUGCGGCCACUGAGACGGGGGGAAACAGCGGUCUCAAACAUCCUGGUGAGUGUACGGGCAAGAAGCGGAGAUGUGGGAGACACGAUGUCGAAUCGUGGCAGAGCACGGCCUUGAGUCGGGAAGACAGCGGCCAAAAAGAGCAGUGAAAAAUGCGCUGUGGAAGAUCCGCGCCGCGGAGCCUAACACGCGUCAAAGACCGCACGCGUUUGGACGGGGCAGCGUCCAGACUGAGUUUAAAAAGGGAAAUCCUAGAUCACGAACUUCAGCUGACGAAAAAGCGAUAAUACGUGUGUGGGCACUUGUAUUGCGCAAACGGGAUAAAAAGAAAUAGCGAACUUUAUUUGGCGUAGAAAACAACGUGAGAGCAGAUGUACAAAAUGCCUUUUCUAUCGAAAGGUGGGACUAGUUGGGGCAGGUUUUGUAGGCAGCGGCCAUGGGGAAGAUAUGGUAGCCACAAAAUCGUUACCUACAUGGUAUUUUAUUAGAAAUUUGUUUUAAAAAUUGCAGUCUACUGAAGAGACCGCGGCUGCUGCGGCAACCCUCCUCCCAACAACCCCCCGCCCCGCGGGUUCCACAGACUUCUCGGUCAGUAUCUUCUGUCUGCAGGUCCGUUUCCGUACCCUCUACCCACGAACAAUUGAAAAGUUACCUUUUAAUUCCGUUUUUCAUGUUGAAAAUACUAUGAAAAAUGUUACAGCCACUUUGGAACUGCUUCCAAUCUAAGCCAUGUGAAUCUACGCCGGCCGCACAAAAAGCCAGGAGACGGAACCUGUUUGCGUGCGCCUCUGUAAAAUGGUUCCGGCGGGACACAGUGACUCCGGGAGGCGAUGGGCGAUGGGCGGUGGCCGCUCCCCGGGAAGCCGCGGUGUUGGGCCGUGCCCGCGGUGGUCGGGCCAGCUCCGUUCGGUGACCUCUGACCCUGUGCAUCAUAAUUUGAGAAGCAGCUGUGUACUCAGAGACCCAACACUCUGCUUGUUCCUGUCUGCUGGACACGGACCAUCUUGGGAUACCCCUCCCCUGUGACACAUGUACACAAAUGUAAUCGUGAACCACUGAAGAGAAAGUACACACUGGAUGUUUCAUUAAGAACACUCACUGCAGAACCCUUUUCCUCAAGUCAGGAUUCAGCAGAAGUGUGCGGCACGACUUCAAAUGGAGCCCAAGUUAACAUAUCUACUUAACUGUUAAGGGUGAAUAUUUUGAUCAGUCACAUGUGGCUCUACCAAAUGUUUCAAAGUUCUUCCUGCAUCAAGCUCUGGAAGAAAGAAAAGCUGCAGAAGCGUUGGUGAAGUAUCAGCAAGAAAGAGGGG